RNAcentral lists this long non-coding RNA (2840 nucleotides) under Lynx pardinus (Iberian lynx). Lineage: Eukaryota; Metazoa; Chordata; Mammalia; Carnivora; Felidae. The record is from RNAcentral.
GGCGGCUAGGAAGGCCCGCGGGGAGUCCGGGGCGGUCCCGCCGGUCGGGCCUGGAUCCGCGUUGGCCCGCGGGCUCGGGUGAGCCCGCUCAAACGCCCCGGGAGCCACCGCCGCCUCCUCAGCGCCAGUCCUCAGCGCUGAAAAGACUCUCCCUUCGUCUCCCAACCGCCCCGCCAAUAGAGACCGCCCCUCGUUUUGACACCGCCCAAUCCACGGCGGGCCCUCUCGUCUGCCCCGCCCCCGACCCCGAAGGACCGUCCUCCAGGGCCAAUAGGCACAAAAGGAGACGACGUAGCACGGUCCGGCCGGAGGUAGACGGUCUGUGGGACCAAUCGGAGUGCGGGCAGGGAGCCGGGUGCCGCCUCCGAAACAAAAGAAGGCACUUGGCUGGUUUGCCCGCCAAUGAGAAGGCUCGGAAAGGAGUUGCAUGGAGGUGGGACUAUGGGCCAGCACAGAGAACUGCGCCUGCGCCAGGGCUCCGGGCGCUAGGAUGCUAGUCCAACGGAGGCCGGCCUCUAGUAAUAGGUUGCUGGGGAGCGGCACUUUGUUAGUCUCGUUGCUAGGGGGCGGGGCCACAACUGUCGGCUGGUCCCGUGAGCCACGCCUCCUUGGCUGGCUUAGCAGGUUUUUGACCGCAGCGGUUGCCAGGCAACUGGGAGCAGCUUGGGCCCAUCUUUUGGCCUCCGGUCUCCUGGUACUGGCCGCUCCGAUCUCCAGAUCGGACACCCUUCACCCUUCUCAGGUCCUUCUCAGGACCUUCCCGUCCAUUUAAGUCUCUUGAGAGUCCCGGAGUGCUGAAACAAAAGACUUAUUCUUUCUUCCAAACGAAAACGCUAUCGGGUAUCUGUCACGGAGAAUGGGACAACAGGGGAAGGCCAAGUAUAGUGAAGGCUCCGCCUUCCUGGCGCCUUCUGCCUCUCGGGCUCCUCCCUCUCGCCCUCAAACUCCUCCCCUUAUUUUAGCGUCCUUCCCCACCCCCCCCAAACAACCCCUUUUCCUCAACAUCCUCCCAUUUCUCUGGUUCCUUCCCCGCUCUGACUCCCCUCACUUCAGGCCCCAACUCUUCUUAAACGCCUCCCUCCUCUCGGAGUGUCCCCCCCCUACACACACACACACACACACACACACACACACACACACACGAUGCCCUCCCCCUCCCCCUCCAGCCUCUCAUUUCCAUUCCUUGUAGAAAAAGCAAGGGCAGGCAGCUGGCCGGGAUGGAAUAGUCUGGGCAUCCCUGUCAUGGGCGGAUCCCUAACUGCGUCUGAGGUGGUGUCUGGGCCUUGUCCUCAUUCGCCGUCCCUGGGCUAGGCAGGUGGGGAUAGAUUCAGGGCCAGGACCUGGUUAAGCUGACAGAUUAGACACGGAGCCUCUUAAUCCCCUCACUGACCUUUAUGAGCGGCCCACACCUUGUCCUCCCCAGUGGAAACCCAGGCUGUGCCGGCCCGGCCCCGUUCUCUUUCCUUCCAAACAGAACCCUCAUCCUGUCCCUUCACCCUCAAUUUAACACCCUUCUCCGUGCCUGUGUUCCCAUUACCCCCCCGUCCCUACCCCCAGACACCCUGCACUGGGAGAACAGCUAGCUAAUUAAUCCCAUCCGGUUUUUAAGUGGGGAUUUUGAAGGAUAAAGGGAGGUGGGGAAGCCAGAAGCGGGGACCUGGGUUGGUGCAGCACUUGGGCAAGCUAAUGGGCAAUGACAGUGCCUGCCCUCAGUCCUGGGACACGGGCAGGAAGGUGUCCUCCUCCCUGGCGCUGGAUCCUUCUGCAGCUGGCUCGCAGCCUGCUGGGCACUUAGGUAGAUAGCAGUAUGGUGGGGGUUGGAGGACAGGAGCGAGGAACCACACCCCAGAAGCACACUCACAGACACGCCACCAGGGCUCCCAGGGAUUUAAUCUGGGGUACAAUUCUCCCCCCGAAACACACACUUUCUCUCGGCAUUCAGAGCGACCUUCUCCUUCCCCAGACCCGAGCUGGACCAGAGGGAGGAGAUUCUGGCCCUCAGCCACAGCCUGCCCUGUCAUUCACACGUCCAAGUUCAGAGCUGACCUCCAAGAGCAUCUCCCCUCCCAGUCGCCCCUGGAAGGCCAUGCGUUCCAGCAGCAAGGGGAGCUGGGAAAUCUACAGGACGCUCACCCCCACCCCUAGCCGUCCCCUUCAGGGAAGUGAGGAAUCAUCCGGUGGAAAGGUCCUUUGAGAAUUUCAAGUUCCAAUGCCCCAUUUUUACAGAUGGGGAAACUGCGGCGGGGAGAGGGGAGUGAUUUGCCCAAAGUCACACGGUACGUGGCGGCAGAGUUGGGAUUUAGAGCAAAGCUUCCUGGAUCCUUGUAAAGGACUCUAUUCCAAUUAGCUUAAGCUCAAUUUCUAACCCUUUUGUAGGAACCAUGGGAAAAUAUAGAUAGAUAUCUGUAUUUAUAUUAUAUAUAUAAUACACAUAUUUAUAACGUCUUUAAGAAAUAGACACACAUCACUAGGUGCAGGAUUCCAGAGCACUGUAGACUCAUCAGCCUUGGGCCUCUCCUCUCUGCCCAACAAGCAGCCCUGUUAUCCACAGGGUCUCGUCUGGGUCCUCCCUUUCUCGGUCAGCCCAGAAAUGCUGUCUAUCAAAUCCCGAGUCCACUUCCUAGAAUGGCCAAGUUCUAGGAGCUGACUAGAACUUUCCAGGUUUUAAUAAUGGACAACUCUGGCUCCCCAGAGCUUUGAUUCCCUUUGGCAUUAACAGAACCACAAAGAAUCAUCAAGAUUCUCAACUCCAUUGGGCAAACUGGAACCAACAAAUCUCAGACAUCCAGAAUCGCCACUCCUUCCUUGACUCUGUGAUCAACCUAGAGACACAGAAUCCU